UGCUUGCGUCGCGACUGGCGCUCAAAUGGUCACCAUUGGGGAGCGACGAAUGCCCUGGUAGGAACGGGCGGAUCGGCCGCGCGCCUGGGUCGAUACG
RNAcentral lists this non-coding RNA (97 nucleotides) under Leifsonia sp. Root227. RNAcentral's name for it is "ZMP/ZTP riboswitch aptamer (pfl RNA motif)". It matches the Rfam family "ZMP/ZTP riboswitch aptamer (pfl RNA motif)". From Rfam's summary of the family: Previously known as pfl RNA. ZMP is also known as AICAR. The record is from Rfam by way of RNAcentral. Lineage: Bacteria; Bacillati; Actinomycetota; Actinomycetes; Micrococcales; Microbacteriaceae. RNAcentral also lists the same sequence under 1 other name.